This 468-nucleotide ribosomal RNA is filed under the name uncultured bacterium. Its description in RNAcentral is "partial 16S ribosomal RNA". It matches the Rfam family "Bacterial small subunit ribosomal RNA", at positions 28 to 507 of the family's 1533-position model. The record is from RNAcentral.
GACGAACGCUGGCGGCGUGCUUAACACAUGCAAGUCGAACGGAAAGGCCCUGCUUUUGUGGUGUGCUCGAGUGGCGAACGGGUGAGUAACACGUGAGUAACCUGCCCUUGACUUUGGGAUAACUUCAGGAAACUGGGGCUAAUACCGGAUAGGAGCUCCUGUUGCAUGGUGGGGGUUGGAAAGUUUCGGCGGUUGGGGAUGGACUCGCGGCUUAUCAGCUUGUUGGUGGGGUAGUGGCUUACCAAGGCUUUGACGGGUAGCCGGCCUGAGAGGGUGACCGGCCACAUUGGGACUGAGAGACGGCCCAGACUCCUACGGGAGGCAGCAGUGGGGAAUAUUGCACAAUGGGCGGAAGCCUGAUGCAGCAACGCCGCGUGCGGGAUGACGGCCUUCGGGUUGUAAACCGCUGUCGCCUGUGACGAAGCGUGAGUGACGGUAAUGAGUAAAGAAGCACCGGCUAACUACGUG